GAUUUCAUAUACAUUGAGGGUGCUACCUAAAUAAUAUAAGGAGAGGUGACUUGUGAACUGACAAGUGUCUGAUGAGAGGGUUGCUUUAGCCUAAAAUUUGAGAUGAGAGCUGGCUGUGGAGCACAACAAUGCAGUCCAUCUUAUUUCAUCUCACAGUUCUUCCCCGACAGUUUCAAGGCAGCCUACAACUGAAAAAGCAGGCCAAACUAGAGAGGCUAAUGGUCUCAAUGUUACCCAUAGAACUUCAUGCCAAGGAAUCUCAGAUCUCUAGUCUAAGUCUGACACUUAGCCAUUAUGUCACCGUGGUGGUGGUGUUGCUAUAGCAACUGAUUUUGUUGCUCAGGAUGAAAAUUCUAUGCCAGCCCUUUGGCAGAAGGAUGUCAUAAUGUUAUGGUCAACCAACAAUUUUAAAGCAAGCCCUCUAGGAAAGAAAACACAUGUCCAGAAAGAAAGAGAGAGAGAGAGAGAGAGAGAAGAGAUAACACAUGUAUCUCACAAGGACCAAGAAAACACAUUUUUUUCCAGCGUAACUUUAUUUCAUCCCAUGGAACAGAGAGAGAAGUCCUUCUUUUCUCAUCUUCACAGGUGAGGAAGAUGAAUUGCAACACUCUUGCGGUUCUGUGCUUUCAUUUAUGAGGAGGAUUGUUUGCAUUAGUGUGGCAGAACAUCUGUGCAAGACUGGGUUGGCGGCUCCUUAGACUUCUGGAAAAUAAAAUCCAUGAUGUGGCAAUAGUUUUAUUAGAC
RNAcentral lists this long non-coding RNA (744 nucleotides) under Pogona vitticeps (central bearded dragon). Its description in RNAcentral is "lncRNA (ENSPVIG00000015525.1)". The record is from RNAcentral. Lineage: Eukaryota; Metazoa; Chordata; Lepidosauria; Squamata; Agamidae.